This 497-nucleotide ribosomal RNA is filed under the name uncultured bacterium. Its description in RNAcentral is "partial 16S ribosomal RNA". It matches the Rfam family "Bacterial small subunit ribosomal RNA", at positions 28 to 507 of the family's 1533-position model. The record is from RNAcentral.
GAUGAACGCUGGCGGCGUGCCUAAUACAUGCAAGUCGAGCGAACAGACGAGGAUCUUGCUCCUCUGACGUUAGCGGCGGACGGGUGAGUAACACGUGGAUAACCUACCUAUAAGACUGGGAUAACUUCGGGAAACCGGAGCUAAUACCGGAUAAUAUAUUGAACCGCAUGGUUCAAUAGUGAAAGACGGUUUUGCUGUCACUUAUAGAUGGAUCCGCGCCGCAUUAGCUAGUUGGUAAGGUAACGGCUUACCAAGGCGACGAUGGGUUACCGACCUGAGAGGGUGAUCGGCCACACUGGGACUGAGACACGGUCCAGACUCCUACGGGAGGCAGCAGUAGGGAAUCUUCCGCAAUGGGCGAAAGCCUGACGGAGCAACGCCGCGUGAGUGAUGAAGGUCUUCGGAUCGUAAAACUCUGUUAUUAGGGAAGAACGAAUGUGUAAGUAACUAUGCACGUCUUGACGGUACCUAGUCAGAAAGCAACGGCUAACUACGUG